This 245-nucleotide ribosomal RNA is filed under the name uncultured bacterium. Its description in RNAcentral is "partial 16S ribosomal RNA". It matches the Rfam family "Bacterial small subunit ribosomal RNA", at positions 524 to 768 of the family's 1533-position model. The record is from RNAcentral.
UACGGAGGGUGCGAGCGUUGUCCGGAAUCACUGGGCGUAAAGGGCGCGUAGGCGGCGCGGAUAGUCGGCGGUGAAAGCCCGGAGCUCAACUCCGGGUCGGCCGUCGAUACUUCCGGGCUUGAGCACUGUAGAGGCAGAUGGAAUUCCGGGUGUAGCGGUGGAAUGCGUAGAGAUCCGGAAGAACACCGGUGGCGAAGGCGGUCUGCUGGGCAGUUGCUGACACUGAUGCGCGACAGCGUGGGGAG